GUCCAUUGGAGAUUAUGGGGCAGUGUGACAAGCGGCUGGGUGGUAAGUCACACACGCACACUCCUUUUUUGGAUGUGGUGUUUUCUUUCGUGUGUGGGACUCGUCGCCUUUGUGGGAAAUCCGUGUGGSRCUUGUUUGGUGUUGUUGGCAGACUUCGGUCUUGCCUUCACACACGUUUCACAUGUGUCAUGCCUUCCCUCAACUCACGGCAUCCAGGAAUGAAGGAGGGUAGUUCGGGGGAGAACGUACUGGUGCGUCAGAGGUGAAAUUCUUAGACCGCACCAAGACGAACUACAGCGAAGGCRUUCUUCAAGGAUACCUUCCUCAAUCAAGAACCAAAGUGUGGGGAUCGAAGAUGAUUAGAGACCAUUGUAGUCCUCGUCUCGCCAAUGAAUAUAUUAAAUUUACGUGCAUAUUCUUUUUGGUCUUCGUUUUUUUACGGCGAGGACCUUUAACGGGAAUAUCCUCACCACGU
This 475-nucleotide ribosomal RNA is filed under the name Trypanosoma cruzi. RNAcentral's name for it is "bacterial SSU rRNA". It matches the Rfam family "Eukaryotic small subunit ribosomal RNA", at positions 659 to 1091 of the family's 1831-position model. Lineage: Eukaryota; Euglenozoa; Kinetoplastea; Trypanosomatida; Trypanosomatidae. The record is from RNAcentral.